Taeniopygia guttata (zebra finch) is the source of this 6135-nucleotide non-coding RNA. NCBI's taxonomy places the organism in Eukaryota, Metazoa, Chordata, Aves, Passeriformes, Estrildidae. The record is from RefSeq and is a predicted model, not a curated record.
CUAAAUCUGUCCCGUUGGCUGGUGGUGCCUUUCCCGCACCCGUCGCGUGAAUGCUGCGUGAAGAGAAGUGGUUGGUUUCCCAAUUCCCGUCCUCCCGGAGCACCACUCCUCUCCUCCUGAUAACUUCAUCUGUUUGCAUCUUGGGCUGUGCCUUUCUUUCGUCUGCAAGCAAGGUACUGUGCUGUUAUCCCGUUGUCAUAGUUGAUAUCACUCUACAAAUCAAGAUUCCUACUGAAGUGAAAGUGUCAGUUGUGAUAAUGACAACUGAAGUUGGUUCAGAGACUGAAGUAAAGAAGGAUUCUGAGCAGCUGGGACCAGACAAAGCCAAGGACAAGCCUGAAGAAGCAUCAGAGACUCCAGGAGAUCAAAAGUCCAAGGAAACAUUCUCUGGAGAAGCUCAAGAUUCUUCUGUCCCAGCACCAACUAACCAAAGUAGUCCAAGUAGCCAGAAGAAGGAAAAAUCUUCACCUGAAAGCAAGGGAAUUUCUCGUUUCCUUCCCCCUUGGCUUAAAAAACAAAAGUCAUACACCUUGGCAGAGCCCAAAGAUGAGCCCAAGAAAAAGGCCACAGGGGAAGAGCAAGUAGUUGAAGAAAGUGAAAGCCAGGCACUAGAGGGGGUGGCUCAGCCAAGAAAGAGCUUGGAAGAAGCAACUGAAAACCGACAGAAUGCUAAAGCAGGUGACAAAGAAAAGCACUCCAUUAGUAGUGCUGAAAUACAGCCUUCCAAAGAAGAUGGUAAAGAAACAGAAGUAGAGGAAGUUGCAGAGAAAAAGGAAGAAAAACAAGAAGAAAAAGAAAAAAGGGAGACAAAAGAAGUGCAGACAGCUGAAAUUAAAAUAGAUAACGUUCCUCAGAAGUCUCCAAAGAAAAUCAAAACUGUGCAGUGUAAGGUGAUGCUUCUGGAUGGCACAGAAUACAGCUGUGACCUAGAGAAAAGAGCCAGAGGACAAGUGCUGUUUGAUAAAGUAUGUGAACACCUCAAUUUACUGGAAAAGGACUAUUUUGGGCUGUUGUUUUAUGAGAAUUCAGAACAGAAGAACUGGCUAGAUUCUUCAAAGGAAAUUAAGAGACAAAUUCGAAGUUUACCUUGGAUAUUCACCUUUAAUGUGAAGUUUUAUCCCCCUGAUCCGUCACAGUUGACUGAAGACAUCACUAGGUAUUUCUUGUGCCUUCAGCUUCGCCAGGAUAUUGUAUCUGGCCGGCUGCCCUGUUCUUUUGUGACUCACGCCCUCCUUGGUUCAUAUACCCUGCAGGCUGAGCUGGGUGAUCAUGACCCAGCAGAGCACAGCAGUGAUUAUAUCAGUGAAUUCCAGUUUGCACCCAAUCAGACUCAAGAAAUGGAAGAGAAAGUGGCUGAGCUACACAAAACACACAGGGGUUUGACUCCAGCACAGGCGGAUUCCCAGUUCCUAGAAAAUGCUAAGAGACUUUCCAUGUAUGGAGUGGAUUUACAUCAUGCCAAGGAUUCUGAAGGUGUGGAUAUCAUGCUGGGUGUAUGUGCUAAUGGUCUGCUGAUUUACAAAGACAGACUCCGAAUCAACCGCUUUGCCUGGCCAAAAAUUCUGAAGAUUUCCUACAAGCGAAGUAAUUUCUACAUCAAAGUCAGGCCAGCAGAACUGGAACAGUUUGAGAGCACUAUUGGGUUCAAACUGCCAAACCAUCGGGCUGCUAAAAGGUUAUGGAAGGUUUGUGUGGAGCACCAUACUUUCUUCAGACUUCUAUCACCAGAACAGCCUCCCAAAGCGAAGUUCCUGACCUUGGGUUCCAAGUUCCGCUACAGCGGCCGUACGCAGGCGCAGACACGACAGGCCAGCAACCUCAUAGACAGACCAGCUCCGUACUUCGAACGCACUUCCAGCAAGCGUGUUUCCAGAAGCCUUGAUGGAGCUCCCAUGGGUAUUUCAGACCAAGGUCUUGUAAGAGACUUCUCUGCUGCUGGAGGGCAGGCUGCUGGAGAUAAAAUUAUUGAUCUUGAAGCUGCUGGUCAGGCCAAGUUAAAAGAAGGUGGCAGAGAAGAAGAUGAAAGUCCACUCAAAACUCCACAAUUAGAAUUUACUCAGGAUGGAAAGAAUUCUUUUCUUCAGCUCACUCACAUACACCCGUCAUCACUGCCCAUCUAUCCUGUGUCAUCCCAUCUCACAAACUUGUCACCUGUCCCUGAGAUCGACAUGCUUUCAGAUAUUUCAGAGGAAGAUCCCUUUGAAGAGCCCCUCCUUACCAUUCCAGACAUUUCAGAGUGCAGUUCCAUGGAACAAACAUCAGAUCAUAAUAAAACCGGAACAGCUUCACCAAUUAAUACCUUUGAAUCUAUGAGACCCCUAGCUAGUCAAGGCUCCCCUGCUGUUGAGGGAAGAAUCCAUACAAAUGACUACAAAAGCACUGAGUUGUGCGUGUCAUGCAGCUUCUUCCGAUGCCUUUCUUUUAGUUUCCGUUCGUUGCUUGAUGAGGAUGGCUAUAUUACUUUUCCUAGCCUUCCUGAUAUUUGCAUUUCUUUCCUCCCACCUGGCCUUCAGCACUAUAUUCCUAUUACCUCUCCUUCCUUCAUCCCCUCUUUUCUCCUUGUCUUUGUCCUGCUUCUGUCUGCUUUCCAGUCUGUUCCCUUUUCACUCACAUUUUCCCUUCCUCUUGCUCUGUCCCUCUGCUACCUGGAGCCUAAGGUGACUUCCUUUAGUAGCUCUAGUGGCAAUGACCUGAAUGACAAAGCAGAGGAAGAGGAGGUGUGUAAUUUUGCUGCUUAAAUGUUGACUCUUGCACAUUGCAUUUAUGCUUGUUCUCACAAGGCUUGCUCAGUUUUGCACACUUCCUAGUUUAGAGGUGUGUCUGUGUACAUGCCUGUAAAUACAUAUAUCAAUACACAAAUGCACAUGUGUAUAUCUAUAUCUUUUUAGCAUUUCUCAUUUGUGAAAAAUUGCCAUUGUGGGAUUUUUAGUCAAUAGAUAGCUUAUGGUUUUUCUGCCUAAUUUCCUAUAGCAUGCAUAAUCUCAUUGAAUUCCACAGAUACUAAGCUGCAGGUGGGCUUGCAUUGUAGUUCAAAAUGUUAAUGAGGACAUAAAACUGAAUACUGAAAGUGCUCUGUGUAAUAAUAGAUAUGUUAUUUGAUACUAUUUGCAAGUUCUAUUUGCACUGUCAAUUGGUUUUAAAAUGCCUGUCUCCCGCAUGCAUUGACUGGAAUGUGCAUCUCUGAAGUUCUGUUUAGAUCUGAAAAAUGAAAUUCCUAAAAGCUGAAUUCAGAAAACUGUGAAUACUUUAAAAUCAGUGUUUUGAUUUCAGAUGUUUCAGCUCUACAAGGGUGUGUGCAAAGCUGAGUCUGCCCAAGGCACAUUUUCUUUUUUUACAUGCUUUGAUUAAUCUCUAGCAGCAGUUGAGACUGAUUUAGUUCAUUAGCUGGGAUGGCAGGUUAUGUCAGACUGUGUCACUAGAAUCUGAGCAUUCUUUGGAAUACACUGCUAAAAUGUACAGAAGCCUCAGUCACACCAGUAUGUUGCUCUGAUCAUCUGGAGUGGCUGACAUACUGCCUACUUUCUUUAUGUCUGCUGCACAUGUUACAGCAAUACCACUAGAAAAAGGUCUUCUAUUUUGAUCCUCAAAGAAAAUAUUAAACCAAUUAUUAUAGAAUCAAAAUGGAGGAGGAUCUGUUUAGUGUUACAUUUAACAAAGUUUGCUAAACCCAUGUACAUAUUAAAGACCUGCUGAAUAAGACACGAUGCCAUUAUAAUACCAGUCUAAGUAUAAAAUAAUGAAAAAUAUGACUUUAAGAUUUUCUCAGUUUUUCCAUAGCCUAAUCCAAUCAAUAAUUUUUAGUGUAGUUACAGAAAAUACAACCCCAGAUAAGUCAGAAAUUAAUAAAAAUGUUAUAUGUACCAUAUCAUGCACACAGAAUCCAAAAUGCAAUAGUAUGAGCAGUAAAUCCAUCUUCAAAUUUAUGGAUUUGCACAGUGUUGACUUGUAAAUCUUUUCCUAAGAUUGCCAGUUGAUAUUAUUACUUGUCGAGAGACAACUGGGAAGUGUUUCACUUUAUAAAGAAUGCUGUCCCUUAAGGCAUUCAGAAUACUUGGAGAUGAGAUAUGAAGAUUACCUACAGAAAAUUACCAACAGAAUUAAUUGAAGUUUAAAAAUAAAUAUAUUCACUUAACAAGAGGUGUAUGUGUAUAUGUGCAAAUAGCUCAUCCCAAGACAGUAAUGUUCCUAAAAUUGAAGACAGUUUGUAAAUACAGUGUUUAAGUGUUUGACUUGAACCCUAAACUCUUUUCCCAAAUGAACUCCUGGAUUAGAUUCCAUUUUCCCAUCAAUUUGUUGCAGAAUUUAAGUCACUUACCAUAUAAAUUAUACAUAUCAUUUUUGUUUGUUACUCAUUCUUAAAUUUUCACCUGGGAAACAAUAAAAAAAAAAGUGCAGCAAGAAAGGGACACAGUGUGAAACUUCCAUUUUUCAUGCCACUUAUGCCAAAAGUUACUUCAGCCAUUCUACAACAAUGUAGGUGCAAGAAGACCCAAGUCGCUUAAUUUCAACAUCUGGGGCCGAAAGAGUAAAGGUGGAAUAUGAAGAGGAGGAAGCACAGCAGAAGCUUUUUGAUCACUAUUGAAACUUUGCUUGUGUAUAACUUACUGAAGCACUGAAAGUGUGCAUUGCAUAACUGUGCUUUGAUCAAGCCCAAGAAAUGUGCCUUGUGUCAAGUCAAGACAGGUCUUAAAAUAAUGACAGGAUUGUUACGAGCUUCAGUUGUGUAACAGAAUGCCUUUGGCAUAAGAUUUUACUUCACUCAGGAAAUACAAACUUUAGGGGGACAUAUUUAAUGUCUCAUUUGUUAGUCCAGGAUGAAAAGUGGUCCUGUGACAUUACAAACAUACAGAGUUGCUGGAAGGGGAGAGAUUCAAAUGUUCAAAAUGCAUGCAGGCUUAUCCACAAGGUUAGGAAAUAGAUGUGCAGCACCAAACCCUUACUGGGGCUGAACACACAAGUGAAAAGAAACUAGAACCUAAGGAGUUUGGGGUGUGGGUUUUUCGUGAUUUAAUGUGAAGCAUCUUUGCAUUGCAAUCAUUGACAAUAAAAAUCCUGACCUAAAUGGUAGAUUUUAGAACAUUCUUCUAAAAAGUAUUUAAAAUCCUUGAAAAAAUCCAGAUUCUUUACCUAUAUAAUUAUAUCAUAUUAUAUUCUUUUGACAAAACUUCCUUAAUAAUUAUGUCUGCAUUGACAAUAUUUCAUUUCAAUCUUCAGUCUUUUGGUACUUUACUAAAAAUGGAUCUGAGGCUUAAACUUGAAUAUAACUAUAGAAUACUACUGAAAAAUAUUCUUGUGUUAGAGUGAGCAUAAGCAACAUGGUCUUUUCUUGAGACCUGGAAUUCUGGAAGGAGGACAAAUUGUGAAAGCAGGGUGAAAUCUGCUUCUCCCACCAAAUCCCAGCCAUUGUAUCUAGAAGACAAUGAAUUCUCAAGAAAGCUAAGCAUAUAUAUUUUUGUCCAAUUACUAGAGCAGUUAAAUUUUGACAUAGCUUCUGAACCUUACCUCUGUCCUGUAGCUGAUACAAAAUGAAAGAAUACCUUGUAAUUACUUGAUCCAAGGUGCUGCAGUUUGGCCUCAAUGGUCAUGAGAAAAUCCAAUUCACACUGUGGUGUCCCCUUUGGCAUUGAUCUAUGGAGGCGCAAUUUAGAUAAUUUUCUUCAUACUGGCAUGCACAAAAACUAUUCCUACUUGUCUAUCUACUGUCAGGUUCUUAAAAGUAGAAUUGGCAGGUAACAGCUUUUAAGUCUUUAAAUCUGAUUCUUUCAGUAAGUUUAAGCCUGCAUGAGAGGCACAAUGAGUUGCCUCUCUGAAGCUAAGUAGGUAUUAGCUGCUUGUAUAUUUGGCCUUUUAGUGUUGUGUUCACAGAUAUAAGUAUUUUUCAUAGAGCUUGUAAUAUCACUAAAGAUGCAUUUUUAUGCUCCUUGGGUUAACCUGUUCUUUCUUACAGCUACCUUCAGUUAUGUUAGCUGUGCAGUAUCCUGAAACAUUUGUGUCUGUGGUUACAAAUUUUAGGUGAAAACAAACAGCUCCUGGAAAUUUUUGGACUAAAGUAGCUCUUUGCAAAAGCCAGCAUUAUUUUCCUUUGCUUUAAAAUAUGGAAGAAACAGUGUAUGAGUAAGACCUUUAUUACAAAAA